ACGCUUGAAGUCAGUCAUGUCUGCCAGGACUCAGCCUUGCUUCUGCUUGGUGUACUUUCUGGUUUGAUGGGCCAACAUCAAUUUCGACCGUUGGAGAAAGGUUUUGGGAAUGUGGCACCUUCGGGUGUGUUAUAGCCCGUUGCUGUAUACGACGGUUGGGAUUGAGGACUGCAGCACGCCUUCAUGGCCGGGGUUCGCCCACGUACGUGCUUAGGAUGUUGGCAUAAUGGCUUUAAGCGACCCGUCUUGAAACACGGACCAAGGAGUC
This 268-nucleotide ribosomal RNA is filed under the name Tomentella patagonica. RNAcentral's name for it is "partial large subunit ribosomal RNA". The record is from RNAcentral. Lineage: Eukaryota; Fungi; Basidiomycota; Agaricomycetes; Thelephorales; Thelephoraceae.